This 492-nucleotide ribosomal RNA is filed under the name uncultured bacterium. RNAcentral describes it as "partial 16S ribosomal RNA". It matches the Rfam family "Bacterial small subunit ribosomal RNA", at positions 29 to 506 of the family's 1533-position model. The record is from RNAcentral.
AGUGAACGCUGGCGGUAGGCCUAACACAUGCAAGUCGAACGGCAGCACAGUAAGAGCUUGCUCUUACGGGUGGCGAGUGGCGGACGGGUGAGGAAUACAUCGGAAUCUACUUUUUCGUGGGGGAUAACGUAGGGAAACUUACGCUAAUACCGCAUACGACCUACGGGUGAAAGCAGGGGAUCUUCGGACCUUGCGCGAUUGAAUGAGCCGAUGUCGGAUUAGCUAGUUGGCGGGGUAAAGGCCCACCAAGGCGACGAUCCGUAGCUGGUCUGAGAGGAUGGAUAGGCCAACCGGAAACUGGAACCCGGCCCAGACCCCUACGGGAGGCACGAGUGGGGAAAUUUGGAAAAUGGGGGAAAGCCUGACCCCACCAUCCCGGGGGGGGAAAGAAGGCCUGCGGGUUGAAAAGCCCUUUUGUUGGGAAAAAAAACCAGCAGGUUAAUACCCCGCUGUUCGGCCGGGACCCAAAAAAAAAGCACCGGCAACUUUCGU